GGGUGAGUAACACGUGACCAACCUGCCCCGCGCUCCGGGACAACCGCUGGAAACGGCGGCUAAUACCGGAUGCUCCGGGGAGGCCCCAUGGCCUCCCCGGGAAAGCCCUGACGGCGCGGGAUGGGGUCGCGGCCCAUUAGGUAGACGGCGGGGUAACGGCCCACCGUGCCCGCGAUGGGUAGCCGGACUGAGAGGUCGACCGGCCACAUUGGGACUGAGAUACGGCCCAGACUCCUACGGGAGGCAGCAGUGGGGAAUUUUGCGCAAUGGGGGGAACCCUGACGCAGCAACGCCGCGUGCGGGACGAAGGCCUUCGGGUUGUAAACCGCUUUCAGCAGGGAAGACAUAGACGGUACCUGCAGAAGAAGCUCCGGCUAACUACGUGCCAGCAGCCGCGGUAAUACGUAGGGGGCGAGCGUUAUCCGGAUUCAUUGGGCGUAAAGCGCGCGUAGGCGGCCGCCUAAGCGGAACCUCUAAUCCCGGGGCUCAACCUCGGGCCGGGUUCCGGACUGGGCGGCUCGAGUGCGGUAGAGGCAGGCGGAAUUCCCGGUGUAGCGGUGGAAUGCGCAGAUAUCGGGAAGAACACCGAUGGCGAAGGCAGCCUGCUGGGCCGCCACUGACGCUGAGGCGCGAAAGCUGGGGGAGCGAACAGGAUUAGAUACCCUGGUAGUCCCAGCCGUAAACGAUGGGCGCUAGGUGUGGGGGGACCAUCCCCCCGUGCCGCAG
Molecule: ribosomal RNA, 726 nt
Filed under: uncultured bacterium
Lineage: Bacteria
Description: bacterial SSU rRNA
Rfam family: Bacterial small subunit ribosomal RNA
Source: RNAcentral